Lytechinus variegatus (green sea urchin) is the source of this 3804-nucleotide long non-coding RNA. RefSeq lists it as uncharacterized. The transcript has 6 exons. Lineage: Eukaryota; Metazoa; Echinodermata; Echinoidea; Temnopleuroida; Toxopneustidae. The record is from RefSeq and is a predicted model, not a curated record.
AUGCGUAAGCGCCAGCAUAUCCAUCCAGCGCCAAAUUCGAAAAGAUGAUGCAAAUGUGACGUUUUCUUUCUUAAUUUACAGGGCAUCAGAAGGUCUGAUGGUUGCAUCACAAAGAUGAAGAGCAGAAGAAGGAUUCGACGGAUAAGGUGAAACGACAGGACUCUUCAUCACAGGAUGAAUACUUCAAAGCACUCACCAAAGAGUUCUGCAACUGGGUUUCAUGAUUUGGGCCGGAACAAAAAUUGUGUAGAAGAGUCAACAAUUCACAGUAUCUAUGCUAGUGGUUAUGGGACAAAGCCCGCCCUCUCUGUACUGAUCCAUGUCAUCCAACUAACAAAGGUUCCUGCAGAGCUAAGUGUGUCAGAAUAGGCUCUAUUGCAGACUUCAGAACAGAUGGAGAAGAAGCAGAAAUAGUUGAAAUGCAGUACGGUUCAGGGAAUUAAACUCCUCAGCUGGGUAAAGAUGAUUUACGGAGCCUGGUGCCUCAAACCAAAGACAUGGAAAAGAAGACUGACAUCAGAGCAAGCACAAAGUAAUAUCCAUGAGAGCAAAGUCCUGGAAGCAAGGGUUCAUCUGGCAGAAGUGUCCCAGCAGGUAGCACAGAAUAUGGAGCUUGAUUAAGAAGAAUUUAUUGUCAUGCUAGAUGAUGAACUCGACAAACUCUAGUCCAUGGUCGAGAAAAUACCCAGCAUUAUGCCACCAGAACCAGUGAAGGUAUAGAGUUCUAUUCAUGAGAGCAGAGCCCUGGAAUCAAGGGUUCUACUAGCAGAAGUGGCCCAAUGGGAAGUGCUGUAUAUGAAGUUGGAUUAGGAAAAGUUGGUGUCAUGCUGGAGGAUAAACUCAACAAACUCGGGUCAAUGGUCAAGAAAAUGCCCAUCAAUAUGCCACCAGAACCAUUGUCAUGUCACUCAAUGUACAUCAUGGAUACACCCCCUAUCUGAUGUGAACCAUUUACCAAGCAUAAAAGAGAGAGAUAGUCUAUCAGAGACAAGGACAUGGCACCAAUCUUAAAAUCAUCUUCUAGUUUUAAAAGAUGUUGGUAUUUAAUUGAUCAGGUAGAUCAACUUGAUCAAACCAAUUAUCAGUUUAAACUUUAUUUAAAUUUAUCCAAAACUUUUUUUGAAGAAUGUGACUUUUAUAUGAAUUUAUAUUCAGGAACCCAUUUUUAUUAAUUUUUUAUGAUUUUUACAUAGCUCCAAUCAGCAGGUCCAAGCUAUUAUCUCUUUGCUGGCAUUUGAUUGUAUCUGAAUUGUCUGUUGUGUCAUUAUUGCAUGCAUACUAUGUAUGUUGUGAGGCUUAGAAUUAAUCCUAACAAGGGGGUGGGGGUUCCCUUGAAAUAUCGGUCAUCGACUGCAAUUGUACCGAUAGUUGGCAUGCACAUUGCCUUGUCCCUGAUUUUACUAAUUUAUUUGUAAAAUGCAAAAUCAUACUUUUUGCUUCCAAAAUAAAGCUCCAAAUAUCCUAAUUUUUGGUGUAGAAAGUCUUUGUAGUGUUCUUAUAAAAUGUUCUUGGAAAAAACUGCAAUAUCAGGCUGAAUUCUUAUGUAUUAUUUUGUUUUUACAAUUUCCUAUGUAUUUCUUUUUGACCUCUUGCAUUCCAUUGACUUUUUUAAUGAAAUUCUCCGGUGAUACUUAAAAGAUUGCAAGCAGCAUAUGAAAACAAAUAUAUUCAGUUAUUCAUAUUUGGUUGAAAACACAAUUUGUAUUGAAAUUGUAUACAAAAUCAUGUUUUUGAACAAAUUUUGGUCCAACAUGCAUGCAGUAAAUUAUGUGUAUCUUCGGAACCACGUACCCAGUUGUCACAAAUGUAGUCUUAAAAGAUACAGAAGUUUUGUUUUGUUGAGAAAAUAUCACACGAAACGUUGAUGGGGGCCCUCUAAUUAAGUUCCUUUUGCAUCGUGUAAUGAAAGGUUUGUUUGUGGAUAUUUUUUGUAUUUCUAUACGUAGCUUCUAAUUAAAAAACUCUGGAUGGUGUAUACAUGCGAUAUAAAAAAAUAGAAUAAGAUUGUAUUCAAUUGUACUUCUAAUAUUCAGACUAGAUUCAAGUAUUGAUGUGAGUAACAAUGAUCUGACUAGAUUUUUGGGUCAUGAGUCAAAGGUCAUAUAUGUCAGGCUGUUUUUCAAUCAGGAUAUAUCAUAUAAGAAAGGUCAAUUGUGUGUAAGAAAUAAAAUAUGUGUACUGUAAUUGGACUCAAAUCUACGAUGGCAUGUGAUUGGGCACUGUUAGAGCAACGAGAAAAACAUCAAGAAAAUGUACUAUAUUUAGCUUUUUAUGGCCAAAAUUGCUUUUUAAAAAAAAAUUUGAGCCUGUGUGUCUUAAGUAUUAGUGAUUAUUGAAAUGCCAUUAAUCAAAAAUUUAAAACCACAGAUUUUGCAACAGAUUAUUUAUUUGGUGACUAUUAUAAAAAAAAAAAAUGAGUGCCAAAUCUGUCCAAAAUAUCUUCUUUGAAUUCUGUAUUUAUAUGCUUACCCAUUACUUGAAAAAUGAUUUUUUUUUUUUAAUAUAAAACACUUGUAGUUUUCUGUUUGCUCACAUCCACUUAUUUUGCAGACAGUUCAUGUUCCAAUGUCUGUUUAAAAUCCUUUUUUUUUCUAAUGUGUCCUCCCCCCCAAAAAAAAUAAAAUAAAAUAAAAAAAUAGGUAAUUGACAGAACAUCUAAUCAAAGAUUAACCAAUCAUAGAAAAAAUAUGUGGGUGACGUUAUGCCUCUCACAACUAAAAAAAUAUAUAAUUUCACUUCUUUCCAACACAGAAAUAUGAGGAAAAACAAACAAUUUUUUAGUCAAAUGAGACAGCUUGGUACACCCCUAGUUUUGAAAUAUCCUGUAUUGAAAUAAUUUGUUCUCGCUAUAAAUGAAGAACGGUUUGGGAGAUCAACUCUUGCUUUCAAUCUGUAUUUUCCUUCAACAAGAAACAUUGUGCCACACUCAACCCAGAUUAAGACAAAAAUCCAAGGUACUGGUAGAUAGGUCUGAUGUUACUCUGUUAUAAAUUGCUUUCAUAUUAUUUAAUAUUUUACCUUUUUUAUAAGUAUAUCAAACUAGCAAAACAAUUCUGGGCGGCUUUCUUGAAAGUAUUUCAUCCCUCCCCCUCCCCCCCCCAAAAAAAGACAGAAAUCUGACCAAUCAUGCUGAAAGCAUUAACGUACUCAUGAUCUUUGAUACACAGUCUGAUCAAUUCAUUUGCAUUAAAGCAGGUCCUUUGAGAGUGAUUCCAGCAAUCUCUUGAUCUGUUAUUUUCCACAUGCAAGUAGAAAUUUAAUCACGCUUAAUUUUUUGUGAAACACCUUUUUAAUUUGUCUCUUAAGGCCUCCACACACCUUGCGAGGGGUCCAUGAUCUAAUUUUGGAACUAAUGACAUUUUGCUAAUUUUUUGAAAUGUGAUUGACUACUAUCUUUUUUUCGAGACUUGAAUUAAUUAAGUACACUAAAUGAUUUUGGAUGAUUUUAAGCCUUUAAUUUUUUUAGUCCAAAUUUAAGGCCAAAUUGGUUUUAAAUUGUAACCAAUCAUACGAUUGCUAUGAUGUCUUUUUGACUAGAUUGUCAUUUUGCUUGUAUUCAAAUGAUGAUGCUAGCAUAGUCACAGAUUUCAAUAUGAGUAUAUUCAUUGAUGAUUUGGAAGAUUACACAGCAAGAUGUCACAUGUCUCUACAGUAUGUUCACAAAUACUCCUGUAAUAAUCGGUUCAUAGACCAAUCAAAAGGUGUGUGAUGACCUUGACAUCAAUGUCAGAUAGCUUGGACCUGCCCUACAGUGUACAAUUGUCUGUGCUAUACUUGCUUUGUAUUCAUGUAGUGUAUUUUUUU